Non-coding RNA from Podarcis lilfordi (Lilford's wall lizard), 3336 nucleotides. Lineage: Eukaryota; Metazoa; Chordata; Lepidosauria; Squamata; Lacertidae. The record is from the annotation of a GenBank genome assembly.
GGGAAAAACUUUGAACUUGUUAUAACAAAUGUUUAUCUUCCUCCUGGAGGCAAUAUUGCAGACUUACACAAUAAAUGGGGAAUCUUGGAGGAACAUCUCACUCAUUGUCACUCCAAAUACCCCAAUAUACCCAAUGUUAUAGCAGGGGACUUCAAUGCUCGCAUUGCAACAAACUGGGAGUCUUUAAUCAAAGCCAAAUGGUGGAUAACCCCAGAAUUCAUUAAUGACCUCUCCCUCCAUAAUCAAAGACUUUCUAAAGACAAAAGGGUAAAUGAAGCAGGAACCCUUCUUUACCAAUUGGUACUACGUCUAAACUUAGUGAUUCUAAACGGGAACUGCCCGCCAGACGUACCGGGUGAGUUUACACACAUAAGCUCCUCUGCAAACAGUGUCCUGGAUUAUAUGUUAGUAUCUCAUGACAUAUUCCCCAAAUUUUCCCAUUUUAAAGUCGAAAACUUUCAACUGAGCGACCACUUACCGUUGGUCGCCACAAUGACUAUAGACUGGACCCCAGAUGGAGACAAGCACCCAACACAUCUGACUACGAACUCAGCAUUGCAAAUCAAAAGUGUAAAAUGGUCCGAACUACAGGCCCAAAAAUACUCAGCAUAUUUCCAACAAGGGCUAAAACAAGCAUAUUCAGGCUUAAUCGAGAAUUAUUAUGAUUAUGACCAAACUCUAAGAUUAUUCUCGAAUCUGUCAGAAGAUCUAACGUCUUUUUUCUCUGUCCCGACGCAUAAAAUAAAUAGAACACAAAGGAAGAUAGGUGCCUUGUGGUUCAAUAGUGCUUGUAAACAGGCUAGACAACUUCUUGGUAACAUCUACAAAGAGUAUAAAGCCUCCGGGGCAACGGUCUUGCCAAAAGAAUACUUCCAAGCAAAAUCAGCCUACAAGCAAAUUCAAAAGGGAGCCAGACAGGAAUGGCAAGUGAAUCAAUGGCGAACAAUCAUAGAAGCCUCAUCAUCACGGAACUCCAGACAAUUUUGGCUCCUGGUAAAUAAAAGAACUAAAAGAUACCCUUUGACUAUUAUUCCUGCCCCGGUUUGGGAAUCCUACUUAAAAACUACUUUGCCACAACUGACUGUAUUGCUAACACAAGAGAUGAUUUUCAAGAUCAGCUUCCCCUCUGGCCCCCCACCGACCCGGAAGACAUCCAUGACUUGAUCGUUAAACUCAAAACAGGGAAAGCGCCUGGGCCAGACCUGAUCCCGGCAGAAGCUAUAAAAUACCACGCGGACUGGUGGGCUAAAGUUCUGGCGACCAUCUUCGAUGCCGUUAACAACUCUGGAAAGAUCCCGGAAGUAUGGAAGGACGCUGUUAUCGUUCCAAUCCACAAAAAGGGCUCACCAGAUGACCCGGGGAAUUACAGAAAUAUCAGUCUACUCUCAAUAGUGGGGAAACUGUAUGCCCGCUUCUUGCUGAACAGACUUAACCAAUGUGCCGAAGAGAAAAAUUAAUUGGGCCCGAACAAGCUGGAUUCCGCCCAAAACAGUCAACAAUUAAUCAUAUUCUAAUUUUACAGCAUCUUGCCUGGAAAUAUUCCACCCCAAAGGGUGGCCAACUCUGUGUGGCAUUCAUUGACCUAAAGGCAGCAUUCGAUAGUAUCCCCAGGAACAUCCUCUGGGAAAAACUCUCCCGCUGGGGCAUCGAUAGAAGGCUUCUCUGGCUAAUAAUCAAACUCCAUGAGAACUCAGCGGCUAGAGUGAGACUCACCCCGGAGGGUGAUCUCACCAAUCCAAUUCCCAUUAACAGAGGUGUCCGACAGGGUUGUAUAUUGGCUCCAUUCCUGUUCAACUUAUUCAUAAGCGAUAUGAGGACUCCCCUAAUAGAGGCUCAAGAAAGGAUUCAUGCACCCCGCCUAGCACUUUAUCGCUGCCCUUUGUUACUGUAUGCGGAUGACGCAGUCAUCCUUUCCUUUUCUAGAGUAGGUCUCAGGAGGGCCUUAAAAAUUUUUGGAUCGUACUGUAACGCAAAUUCCCUUACAAUUAAUUAUGGAAAAUCUAAGAUUCUAAUUUUCUCAAAGAGCCGGAAACUCCAUAAUUGGAGAAUUGAUGGGAGAGUCAUCGAACAAGUCUAUAGAUUCCAAUACUUGGGAGUUUGGUUACAACAUAACCUUAGAUGGAAGGCCCAUGUAGCCUAUGUUACAAAUAGAGCCAAAGCUAUCUCCUUGGCGAUCUUGCGAUUCUUCUUCACCGAUGGGGCUCUUCAUAUCCCAUCGGCGUUGAAAGUCUUCAAGGCCAAGGUGAUCCCGACAAUUGCCUAUGCCAUCUCAAUUUGGGGGACUUUUGUCAAUCUAUCUCACCUAGAGGUUAUUCAAAAUCAGUUUUUAAGAGGGAUAUUGAAACUGCCCAACUGUGUAAGUAAUACAGCGUUACGCAUGGAACUUAAUACUGUAUCCCUGGAAAACGCUCUGUGGAAGCACAUACUUUGUCACUGGUUAUCUCUAUGGCACAAUCUCCCAAACUUGUACUUGAUACAAUGUAUGUGGAGAGAUGAUUUCCAGAGCCCAUGGGUAAAAAAUUUACAGCUGAAAAUAAUGACAAUGGGAAUCUCCCCAUCCAAAUUACUAGAGCAGGACAUAGUUCCAGCUAAAAGAACAGUAACCUGUAAACUAGAGGAGAUGGACUUGCAGCAGAAAAUGGUCUUGGGCAAUGGUACCUGCUCACCUCUAAACCUUGGUUUAUCACCCCUCUUAAGGCUCCCAAACUAUUUGAAUUCCUUAACUUCUUCGGCUCAUAGAUAUGCCUUUGUAAAGGCAAGAUUCAACACCUUCCCAUCGAACAUGCUGAGAAAUAGAUUCUCCAAUGGACAGAUAUCGCUCUUAUGUGAUUGUAAUUGUGGGGCACCGGAAUCGUUGCAUCACAUAAUUUUUGACUGUGCUUUUCACUCAUCGGCCAGGAGCAAGUUUCUUGCCCAAUAUCUAAAGGGAAUUGCCGAUGAUACGAAUGAAGCCAAACUGAGAUAUCUAUUAAAUGAUGAUGACCCCCUAAGAUCACUCACGGUUGCCAGAUUCUUGAUCAGUGUCCUAUCCCUAAAGAAGAGAAACGGACUCCUGUGUGGCUCGGAAAAUCCCUUUAAACCAUGAUCUAUGUUUUAGGAUGUAACUAGGUGAAUCACCAUUGAUGUCUUUUAUUGAUCUGUGAGCAGAUGGUGAUGGUUAUGUUACAAAUUUAUUGCAACAUAUGAUGUUGGUCUUUUGUUUUUGUUCUGCUUUGGUUCUUGUCUGUUUUUUGUAAGUUUUGACGGUUUUAAAUUUGGAGGUUCAUGUACAUUAUGUUGGUAUGGGAAACUCUCGUGUGACGGGCCAAUGGCCGUAAUAAAGAUCAAUCAAUCAAU